Coniella lustricola is the source of this 96-nucleotide non-coding RNA. The record is from the annotation of a GenBank genome assembly. Lineage: Eukaryota; Fungi; Ascomycota; Sordariomycetes; Diaporthales; Schizoparmaceae.
GGGCGCAUGGUUUAGUGGUAUAACACUCCCUUAGCAUUGGUUUAAACGGGCCAGCGCACCUGGGAGAGGUCUAGGGUUCGAUUCCCUAUGUGUCCA